Molecule: long non-coding RNA, 287 nt
Organism: Neofelis nebulosa (Clouded leopard)
Lineage: Eukaryota; Metazoa; Chordata; Mammalia; Carnivora; Felidae
Exons: 2
Source: RefSeq, a predicted model, not a curated record
GCACUGGCUUCCACACACGGCCAUUGCCUCUCCGCAGGCACUGUCCCUUAUCUGGACUCUGCCACAGCCUCUCCUCCUCCACUGCCAUGAAGAUCUUAAACAAAGCUUGAUGCAGGUAAACAUGAGGACCUUCAAAGCCAUUUUGGAUGUUGGAAGUGGGAAGAGCCACAAGAAGGAAGGACUAUGGGUACCAGAAUCACUCUUGGAGAUGAGCUUCAUGACAAUUAGGAGUCCCUGCUUGGGAGUACUACAUAAGUGAGAAAUAAAUAUCUGUUGUGUUAAACCAC